GGACACCGUGUAUAGGCCUACAAGACAUUGCCCGGAAAAUGUGUCUUCUAGUUUAAACAAAACUCUCGAUUCUUUUAAGCAGCACUUUAAACAUUUUACAUCCUAAAGGGUUAGGUUUAGAAGGCAUGUAAUACGCGCGUUUCUUAUAAAACACCGUCUUUAAAACGUUUACCUCCUAAAGGGACCUAUUUAGAAGGGUUGUGGGGGAACCUGGAGCCUAUCCUAUCAUCCUAUCCUAUCAUCGGGCACAAGGCAGGGUACACCCUGGACAGGGUGCCAGUCCAUCGCAGGGCAUGAUUGAUUGAUUGAUCGCAGAUUGUGUGAGGAUACAUAAGCCUUCAGGAGAGAGUUGAGGAGCAGCAAUGAAGAAUCCCGUACUUCCAUCGCCAACGGAAGCAGAGGCAGAAUAACAUGUUAAGGAUCAUCUCUGCUUGGCCUCAGGGAGAAUGCCCUCUUAAACCACUUGUGUUCAUUUUCAUACCUUUUGUUUUUGUUUGUUUCAGGAUUUUAUAUAAUAGCAAAUAAAUUAAAAGUUCUUUUCAUUCUCUGACAAUAAUGCAAAUCAUUCUAUAACUUCUACAAUACGUCAAUACGUAAAGUGCUCAGAUUGCACUAUAAUGCUUAUAAAGUUACACCGGCACUAAAACAUUUACUUCCCAAAUUAUGGAGUAUACAGCUGUUACGCCACGGCCAGCAAAUGGCACUGCGGCGCGGCUUCUGACUGGACACGUGACUCUUAUUUUGGUUUGUUCGCUUCCUGUUUAGAUAUUGGCUUAUGUGCGAGGGUGUAGCUUAAUUUGAGCCAGGUGUCCAUGUUUAGUUUGAUUAUGUUGACUAUUUAAACCCCUUGGCGACUGCACACAGUAUUAUUAUUUGUAACAUAGAUGCCAGUGUGAUAGAUAUCGGUGUAACAUGUAGGUUUAGCAUGCUAGCGGUCUCAUUUCCAUGUCCUGUUUCCUGCCUCGACUUUAGUCUCAUGUUUACUCGUAUCUAAUUCCGUAAAGACCACGUUACCUGUGUUUGGUUUUGUUUGUUUAUGAAUAAAGACAGCGCUCCUGUGCCUACUCCCUGUGUAUCGUUACAACAGCACAUUACAGAUGGAAACAUGCCAGGUUCAAACAAAAG
Ictalurus punctatus (channel catfish) is the source of this 1125-nucleotide long non-coding RNA. The record is from Ensembl. NCBI's taxonomy places the organism in Eukaryota, Metazoa, Chordata, Actinopteri, Siluriformes, Ictaluridae.